Molecule: ribosomal RNA, 667 nt
Filed under: uncultured bacterium
Lineage: Bacteria
Description: bacterial SSU rRNA
Rfam family: Bacterial small subunit ribosomal RNA
Source: RNAcentral
UAACACGUGAGCAACCUGCCUUUCNNAGGGGGAUAACAGUUGGAAACGACUGCUAAUACCGCAUAACGCUGCGAUGGGGCAUCCCGAUGCAGCCAAAGGAGCAAUCCGCUGAAAGAUGGGCUCGCGGCCGAUUAGCUAGUUGGUGGGGCAACGGCCCNCCAAGGCGACGAUCGGUAGCCGGACUGAGAGGUUGAUCGGCCACNUUGGGACUGAGACACGGCCCAGACUCCUACGGGAGGCAGCAGUGGGGGAUAUUGCACAAUGGAGGAAACUCUGAUGCANCGACGCCGCGUGAGGGAAGACGGUCUUCGGAUUGUAAACCUCUGUCUUUGGGGAAGAAAAUGACGGUACCCAAAGAGGAAGCUCCGGCUAACUACGUGNCAGCAGCCGCGGUAAUACGUAGGGAGCGAGCGUUGUCCGGAAUUACUGGGUGUAAAGGGAGCGUAGGCGGGCGAGAAAGUUGAAUGUUAAAUCUACCGGCUUAACUGGUAGCUGCGUUCANAACUUCUUGUCUUGAGUGAAGUAGAGGCAGGCGGAAUUCCUAGUGUAGCGGUGAAAUGCGUAGAUAUUAGGAGGAACANCAGUGGCGAAGGCGGCCUGCUGGGCUUUUAANUGACNCUGANGCUCGAAAGCGUGNGGAGCAAACAGGAUUAGAUACCCUGGUAGU